This 32-nucleotide transfer RNA is filed under the name Drosophila auraria. RNAcentral's name for it is "partial tRNA-Lys". The record is from RNAcentral. RNAcentral also lists the same sequence under 4 other names. Lineage: Eukaryota; Metazoa; Arthropoda; Insecta; Diptera; Drosophilidae.
CAUUAGAUGACUGAAAGCAAGUACUGGUCUCU